Molecule: ribosomal RNA, 253 nt
Filed under: uncultured bacterium
Lineage: Bacteria
Description: partial 16S ribosomal RNA
Rfam family: Bacterial small subunit ribosomal RNA
Source: RNAcentral
UACAGAGGUCUCGAGCGUUGUUCGGAUUCAUUGGGCGUAAAGGGCGCGUAGGCGGCGGGGUAAGUCUGGUGUGAAAUCUCGGAGCUCAACUCCGAAAUUGCACUGGAUACUGCUCUGCUAGAGGGCUGGAGAGGAGAUCGGAAUUCACGGUGUAGCAGUGAAAUGCGUAGAUAUCGUGAGGAAGACCGGUGGCGAAGGCGGAUCUCUGGACAGUUCCUGACGCUGAGGCGCGAAGGCCAGGGGAGCAAACGGG